GAUGAACGCUGGCGGCGUGCCUAAUACAUGCAAGUCGAGCGAACAGAUGAGGAGCUUGCUCCUCUGACGUUAGCGGCGGACGUGUGAGUAACACGUGGAUAACCUACCUAUAAGACUGGGAUAACUUCGGGAAACCGGAGCUAAUACCGGAUAAUAUAUUGAACCGCAUGGUUCAAUAGUGAAAGACGGUUUUGCUGUCACUUAUAGAUGGAUCCGCGCCGCAUUAGCUAGGUGGUAAGGUAACGGCUUACCAAGGCAACGAUGCGUAGCCGACCUGAGAGGGUGAUCGGCCACACUGGAACUGAGACACGGUCCAGACUCCUACGGGAGGCAGCAGUAGGGAAUCUUCCGCAAUAGGCGAAAGCCUGACGGAGCAACGCCGCGUGAGUGAUGAAGGUCUUCGGAUCGUAAAACUCUGUUAUUAGGGAAGAACAAAUGUGUAAGUAACUAUGCACGUCUUGACGGUACCUAAUCAGAAAGCCACGGCUAACUACGUG
This 497-nucleotide ribosomal RNA is filed under the name uncultured bacterium. Its description in RNAcentral is "partial 16S ribosomal RNA". It matches the Rfam family "Bacterial small subunit ribosomal RNA", at positions 28 to 507 of the family's 1533-position model. The record is from RNAcentral.